Molecule: ribosomal RNA, 497 nt
Filed under: uncultured bacterium
Lineage: Bacteria
Description: partial 16S ribosomal RNA
Rfam family: Bacterial small subunit ribosomal RNA
Source: RNAcentral
GAUGAACGCUGGCGGCGUGCCUAAUACAUGCAAGUCGAGCGAACGGACGAGAAGCUUGCUUCUCUGAUGUUAGCGGCGGACGGGUGAGUAACACGUGGAUAACCUACCUAUAAGACUGGGAUAACUUCGGGAAACCGGAGCUAAUACCGGAUGAUAUUUUGAACCGCAUGGUUCAAAAGUGAAAGACGGUCUUGCUGUCACUUAUAGAUGGAUCCGCGCUGCAUUAGCUAGUUGGUAAGGUAACGGCUUACCAAGGCAACGAUGCAUAGCCGACCUGAGAGGGUGAUCGGCCACACUGGAACUGAGACACGGUCCAGACUCCUACGGGAGGCAGCAGUAGGGAAUCUUCCGCAAAGGGCGAAAGCCUGACGAAGCAACGCCGCGUGAGUGAUGAAGGUCUUCGGAUCGUAAAACUCUGUUAUUAGGGAAGAACAUAUGUGUAAGUAACUGUGCACAUCUUGACGGUACCUAAUCAGAAAGCCACGGCUAACUACGUG